RNAcentral lists this ribosomal RNA (447 nucleotides) under uncultured bacterium. RNAcentral's name for it is "bacterial SSU rRNA". It matches the Rfam family "Bacterial small subunit ribosomal RNA", at positions 329 to 792 of the family's 1533-position model. The record is from RNAcentral.
CCCCAGACUCCUACGGGAGGCAGCAGUGGGGAAUAUUGCACAAUGGGGGAAACCCUGAUGCAGCGACGCCGCGUGGGCGAGGAAGUACCUCGGUAUGUAAAGCCCUAUCAGCAGGGAAGAAACAGGACAGUACCUGACUAAGAAGCCCCGGCUAACUACGUGCCAGCAGCCGCGGUAAUACGUAGGGGGCAAGCGUUAUCCGGAUUUACUGGGUGUAAAGGGAGCGCAGACGGCAGUGCAAGUCUGGAGUGAAAGCCCGGGGCCCAACCCCGGAACUGCUCUGGAAACUGUGCGGCUAGAGUACUGGAGGGGCAGGCGGAAUUCCUAGUGUAGCGGUGAAAUGCGUAGAUAUUAGGAGGAACACCAGUGGCGAAGGCGGCCUGCUGGACAGUAACUGACGUUGAGGCUCGAAAGCGUGGGGAGCAAACAGGAUUAGAUACCCGCGUA